This 247-nucleotide long non-coding RNA is filed under the name Prunus persica (peach). RNAcentral describes it as "long non-coding RNA (PPER_LNC004355)". The record is from RNAcentral. Lineage: Eukaryota; Viridiplantae; Streptophyta; Magnoliopsida; Rosales; Rosaceae.
GUAUUAAAAAUAUUGAAAAAAAUAAAAGCAAGACAAAAACAAAUUAUAAAAUUGAAUGAGCUAAAUAAUAAAGAAAAAUACAUGAAAAGGAAAAAAAUGUAAAAUAAAAAGUAAACACAAAGAAAAGAGCAAAAGGAAAAAACUGAAAUGAAAAAGAAGAGAAAAAGCAAGAUUGGGAAAGAGAAAAAAAAAUUGAAAACAUAAUAGCAUAUUGCGUUUGAAAUGUCCAAUGUAUUGGGGAUUGUGG